AAAUAAUGCUUGUGGGGUCAUAGCGCGCGCAGCGCGAAAAUUUUUUUUAGCCUCGUUUGGUACUUCGGACUGUACUAACUAUUUCAGUUGGAUAAGAUAAAUAGUCGUCGGAUAGUACUAACUCCAUUAGUCGGGCGUUUGGUGCAGUGUUGAAUUAAUCUGUGCAUGGAACAAUAAUAAAUUUUUUUAAUAAUUUUUAACAAAAUAAUUGGUGUUAAAAUGAAAAAACUCACAAUAUAAACAAAUCAUCAAUAUAAUCAAAAUAAAUAUGAAUUGAAUUUCAAUUAAAUUAAAUAUAUUCUACAUAUACAAAAUAUUCAAAAUAAAUACUCACAAUAUAAACAAACCAUCAACAUAAUCAAAAUAAAUAUGAAUUGGAUUUCAAUUAAAUUAAAUAUAUCAUACAUAGGGUUUAGAACUUACUUGGAUUGUGAAAUUUCACAAUAACAAUGAGCAAAUACAAAGAGCAAAGCUGGGAGGAGAUGGAGUUGAGGGUUUGGAGGGGGGGGAUUGAGUUUGGAACUUAGGGUUGGAGGAGGAGAAAACAAAAGAAAUUUGGGGGUUUU
RNAcentral lists this long non-coding RNA (566 nucleotides) under Malus domestica (apple). RNAcentral describes it as "long non-coding RNA (MDOM_LNC009415)". The record is from RNAcentral. Lineage: Eukaryota; Viridiplantae; Streptophyta; Magnoliopsida; Rosales; Rosaceae.